UACGUAGGGGGCAAGCGUUGUCCGGAUUCAUUGGGCGUAAAGAGCGUGUAGGCGGCCAGGUAGGUCGGUUGUGAAAACUGGAGGCUCAACCUUCAGACGUCGACCGAAACCAUCUGGCUAGAGUCCGGGAGAGGAGAGUGGAAUUCCUGGUGUAGCGGUGAAAUGCGCAGAUAUCAGGAAGAACACCAAUGGCGAAGGCAGCUCUCUGGGACGGUACUGACGCUGAGACGCGAAAGCGUGGGGAGCGAACAGG
Molecule: ribosomal RNA, 253 nt
Filed under: uncultured bacterium
Lineage: Bacteria
Description: partial 16S ribosomal RNA
Rfam family: Bacterial small subunit ribosomal RNA
Source: RNAcentral